GGGAAAAAAAACAAGCAUGGAGGAGCAGGACAGAGUGAAACUCCCCACAACACUGUGUUAGAACACAGAACAA
Pangasianodon gigas (Mekong giant catfish) is the source of this 73-nucleotide non-coding RNA. NCBI's taxonomy places the organism in Eukaryota, Metazoa, Chordata, Actinopteri, Siluriformes, Pangasiidae. The record is from the annotation of a GenBank genome assembly.